RNAcentral lists this ribosomal RNA (432 nucleotides) under uncultured bacterium. RNAcentral describes it as "partial 16S ribosomal RNA". It matches the Rfam family "Bacterial small subunit ribosomal RNA", at positions 36 to 507 of the family's 1533-position model. The record is from RNAcentral.
UCUUCCCUCUUUCUUUCUGCUUCCCCCCUGCACGUCGACCGGUCACUUCGGUGAUAGUGGCGGACGGGUGAGUAACGCGUGAGAAUCUGUCUUCAGGUCGGGGACAACAGUUAGAAAUGACUGCUAAUACCGGAUGUGCCUUUGGGUGAAAGAUUUAUUGCCUGAAAAAGAGCUCGCGUCAGAUUAGCUAGUAGGUGGUGUAAGAGACUACCUAGGCUCCGAUCUGUAGCUGGUCUGAGAGGACGAUCAGCCACACUGGAACUGAGACACGGUCCAGACUCCUACGGGAGGCAGCAGUGGGGAAUUUUCCGCAAUGGGCGAAAGCCUGACGGAGCAAUACCGCGUGAGGGACGAAGGCUUUUGGGUCGUAAACCUCUUUUCUCAAGGAAGAUGAUGACGGUACUUGAGGAAUAAGCAUCGGCUAACUCGGUG